RNAcentral lists this ribosomal RNA (468 nucleotides) under uncultured bacterium. Its description in RNAcentral is "partial 16S ribosomal RNA". It matches the Rfam family "Bacterial small subunit ribosomal RNA", at positions 28 to 507 of the family's 1533-position model. The record is from RNAcentral.
GACGAACGCUGGCGGCGUGCUUAACACAUGCAAGUCGAACGGAAAGGCCCUGCUUUUGUGGGGUGCUCGAGUGGCGAACGGGUGAGUAACACGUGAGUAACCUGCCCUUGACUUUGGGAUAACUUCAGGAAACUGGGGCUAAUACCGGAUAGGAGCUCCUGCUGCAUGGUGGGGGUUGGAAAGUUUCGGCGGUUGGGGAUGGACUUGCGGCUUAUCAGCUUGUUGGUGGGGUAGUGGCUUACCAAGGCUUUGACGGGUAGCCGGCCUGAGAGGGUGACCGGCCACAUUGGGACUGAGAUACGGCACAGACUCCUACGGGAGGCAGCAGUGGGGAAUAUUGCACAAUGGGCGGAAGCCUGAUGCAGCAACGCCGCGUGCGGGAUGACGGCCUUCGGGUUGUAAACCGCUUUCGCCUGUGACGAAGCGUGAGUGACGGUAAUGGGUAAAGAAGCACCGGCUAACUACGUG